This 489-nucleotide ribosomal RNA is filed under the name uncultured bacterium. Its description in RNAcentral is "partial 16S ribosomal RNA". It matches the Rfam family "Bacterial small subunit ribosomal RNA", at positions 30 to 507 of the family's 1533-position model. The record is from RNAcentral.
UUGCACGCUGGCGGCAGGCCUAACACCUGCAAGUCGAACGGUAACAGGAAGAAGCUUGCUUCUUUGCUGACGAGUGGCGGACGGGUGAGUAAUGUCUGGGAAACUGCCUGAUGGAGGGGGAUAACUACUGGAAACGGUAGCUAAUACCGCAUAACGUCGCAAGACCAAAGAGGGGGACCUUCGGGCCUUUUGCCAUCGGAUGUGCCCAGAUGGGAUUAGCUAGUAGGUGGGGUAACGGCUCACCUAGGCGACGAUCCCUAGCUGGUCUGAGAGGAUGACCAGCCACACUGGAACUGAGACACGGUCCAGACUCCUACGGGAGGCAGCAGUGGGGAAUAUUGCACAAUGGGCGCAAGCCUGAUGCAGCCAUGCCGCGUGUAUGAAGAAGGCCUUCGGGUUGUAAAGUACUUUCAGCGGGGAGGAAGGGAGUAAAGUUAAUACCUUUGCUCAUUGACGUUACCCGCAGAAGAAGCACCGGCUAACUCCGUG